CAGCCGCCGCGGGAAUACGAGGGGGGCAAGCGUUGUUCGGAAUUAUUGGGCGUAAAGGGUGCGUAGGCGGCUUGACAAGUCUUGUGUGAAAUCUAUGGGCUCAACCCAUAGUCUGCACGGGAAACUGUCGGGCUUGAGAAUGGGAGAGGUGAGUGGAAUUUCCGGUGUAGCGGUGAAAUGCGUAGAUAUCGGAAGGAACACCUGUGGCGAAAGCGGCUCACUGGACCAUUUCUGACGCUGAUGCACGAAAGCUAGGGGAGCAAACAGGAUUAGAUACCCCCGUAGUCCCUGUCUCUUAUAU
Molecule: ribosomal RNA, 301 nt
Filed under: uncultured bacterium
Lineage: Bacteria
Description: partial 16S ribosomal RNA
Rfam family: Bacterial small subunit ribosomal RNA
Source: RNAcentral